RNAcentral lists this ribosomal RNA (353 nucleotides) under uncultured fungus. RNAcentral describes it as "SSU rRNA". It matches the Rfam family "Eukaryotic small subunit ribosomal RNA", at positions 21 to 368 of the family's 1831-position model. Lineage: Eukaryota; Fungi. The record is from RNAcentral.
UGUAGUCAUAUGCUUGUCUCAAAGAUUAAGCCAUGCAUGUCUAAGUAUAAACACCUUAUACUGUGAAACUGCAGAUGGCUCAUUAAAUCAGUUAUAAUUUAUUUGAUGGUUAACUUACUACAUGGAUACCCGUAGUAAUUCUAGAGCUAAUACAUGCGAAAAAACCCGACUUUUUGGAAGGGUUGCAUUUAUUAGAUACAAAACCAAUGGCCAGCAAUGGUCUUCUUUGGUGAUUCAUAAUAACUUUUGCGGAUCGCAUGGCCUUGUGCCGGCGACGAAUCAUUCAAAUUUCUGCCCUAUCAACUUUCGAUGGUACGGUAUUGGCCUACCAUGGUUACAACGGGUAACGGGGA